ACACUCAGCAUGCACAUGGAGGCUUUGAGUUUUCCUAGAAACCAGCCUCGUGCACACUGAGUAAGG
Molecule: non-coding RNA, 66 nt
Filed under: Sus scrofa (pig)
Lineage: Eukaryota; Metazoa; Chordata; Mammalia; Artiodactyla; Suidae
Source: RNAcentral